GCCUGGGUGGCUCAGUCGGUUGAGCAUCUGACUUUGGCUCAGGUCAUGAUCUCGUGGUCUGUGAGUUUGAGCCCCGCGUCGGGCU
This 85-nucleotide transfer RNA is filed under the name Felis catus (domestic cat). It matches the Rfam family "tRNA". From Rfam's summary of the family: Transfer RNA (tRNA) molecules are approximately 80 nucleotides in length. The record is from Rfam by way of RNAcentral. Lineage: Eukaryota; Metazoa; Chordata; Mammalia; Carnivora; Felidae. RNAcentral also lists the same sequence under 3 other names.